RNAcentral lists this non-coding RNA (46 nucleotides) under Pelobates cultripes (western spadefoot toad). It matches the Rfam family "Histone 3' UTR stem-loop". From Rfam's summary of the family: The mRNAs of metazoan histone genes lack a poly-A tail. 3' end processing occurs at a site between a highly conserved stem-loop (modelled by this family) and a purine rich region around 20 nts downstream (the histone downstream element, or HDE). Lineage: Eukaryota; Metazoa; Chordata; Amphibia; Anura; Pelobatidae. The record is from RNAcentral.
GAAAAGGUUUUAUUUAAAACCAUCCAUAAUAUAUAUAUAAUUUGUU